Molecule: long non-coding RNA, 7180 nt
Filed under: Citrus x clementina
Lineage: Eukaryota; Viridiplantae; Streptophyta; Magnoliopsida; Sapindales; Rutaceae
Description: Citrus clementina (C. clementina) long non-coding RNA (CCLE_LNC001614)
Source: RNAcentral
AUUAUACUUUGCAGAAAUUGAAAAAAAAAACUAUUAAAAGGACCGCAACUUGCUACCUUAAAGUUAAGAGGGGAGGGGAUGCCGAUCACCUAAUCAAUACAUAAAUUAUUGGCAACACUAUCAGUUACGCUAAGUAGUAUAUAGCGGUUAUCAAUUUUCUAUGAUCACGUUUUAAGGUCUGCAACAUUGACUCAAACAUUUUCGUUUUUCAUCACUUCAGUUUCUUGCAUUUUGCAUUGAAAGUGUUUGGGUUGGAUUUCUCCUCGCCGUCAGAAAGCUCAAUUCAAGGCUGCCUUAAAGGCCCGGCCAUUCCUACCUUGAAACAAUGGCCCGAAAGCCCGUGAGUUUUAUCCCUAUUAAAUAAUCUGUGUGAAAUUUAGCUUUAUCCCUAAAUUACUCCCAACUUUCAAAACCGAUGGACGUUAGAGAAAAUUUGUGGAAAAAUAAGAGAAAUGCUGAAAGUUUUAUUCAAUAAGGAAAACUACAAAAAAUUAAUUUGUACUUCAAGAUAUGUUAUAUACGAUACUUUUCUUAAGAAGUUAUUUGUCGUACCAAUUGAAUGAUGUAAAUGAGUUAGGUAAAUAGGCCUUCAAUUAUAGUGAAACUAGAAAAUAGAACCGCGUUUCACGCGACUUUAAAAAAAGAAUUUAGUAUUAUCAUUUUUUCUUACUUUACACUUGAUGAAACUGAUAAAAAAUAUGAAUUGAUUUUUUUUUUAAAAUGAGGCAGCCUUAUAAAAAAAAUAAAAAAAGCUAUUAGCCAGCAAUACAAAUAAAGAAGCAAUGCAAGAUAAAGAAUAAAAUGAGAGAAUAUAUUAUUAGAGAGAUUUUAUUCAUUCCAAUUGUGUGUGUACAAAACAAAAAAUGAGCUCUCCUUUUAUAGUUACAUAAUCACUCCAUGAAAUUAAUGAAAAUUUAUGGAUCAUAAUUCCUUGUGAGAUAGUGGGAGUUAUAGGGAAGCUAAAGGUUGUUAAUGGGAGAUAGUGGGGAGACUAAGAGAUAUAUGUUAUGAACAUCUACAUUUAUUUUAAUAAAUUCAUAACACUCCCCCUUGGAUGUUCAUUACAAAGAAUGUGCCUCAUUAAAACAUUUACAUAAUUGUUAUUGUGUAAUAACAAUUAAAUUAAUUAUGAGAAGAUGAAAAGCCAAAUCUAAAAGAAAAUUUCUCUAUUUAUUAGAUAAUAGAGAAUAUACAAAGAUGAGAAAUGGUGAUGCCACAUCACCUCCUCAAGUCUCAGCUUUAUAUAGAUACUAGGAAAUAAAACCACGCUUCGCGCGGCUUUAGAAAAUGAAUUUAAUAUUAUCAAUUUUUUUUUUACACUCGAUAAAACUGAUAAAAAAUAUAUAUUGAUUUUUUUUAAAAUGAAGCGGCCUUAUAAAACUAAUGUUAUUUAUGAAAGUUAACUACUGUUUUGUUAACGUUAAAAAUAUAUAUUAACGUGUAUAGUCUAAGUGUACAGACCUUAUACCUUUUGUAGUUGAUAAGUUCCAAAUUAAAUUUUGUAAUUGAGGAUCCUUAGCAAUGCGUUGAAUUAUAAAAGAAAUAAGUAAAAUACAUGUAAAGACUUUUACUAACUUGCACAACAUUGGAGAUGGUAGAAAAUCUUUCAAUUAAUGAUGCUACACAAUCUAUUUGAAGAUUUAUGUAGAUUUUGCUUGCACUUGUGGCAGAGAAAUUAACCUCACCUGUUUAGAGCAAAUGUAACCUAAAACGAAACUUGAACAGAAUCCAAAAUUGUGUAUAAUAUUAAAAUAGCCACAUUGCAUUUGAAAAUGUUAAUUAGUGGGAUCUAAAUAAAAUAAUCACCUUGGAAUUUUUUAAUGGUCGUAGAAGUUACUAUCACAAUACAAGGACCCUCGUCUUUUUUGUAUAAGUUUGGAUCAAACAUCUCCCCUAACUUUCCCCAUAAAGUAAUCUUUGUUGUUACCGAGCUAUCCAUAAAAAUUAACAAAAGUUAAUAAUGUAAAGAGAACCAAUAAUUAAAAAAUAACAUAAAUAACUAAAAAAUAUAAAGUCGUAGUUUUCUUGAUUAUAUUCAACUUACUAAUCCGUUAGAAUUUUUAUAUCUAUUUUUUUCCAACCAACUCCAACGAUCUCAAUAUCACCCACACCACAUAAACUUCCGAUAACAUCUGUAAUAUUAUGGAAAAAUAACAUAAACAUGUUAAAACAUAAGGAUUAAUAAUUUCUAAUAUACACUUAAAGAUUAACAAACAUUAAUAAUUAAAAAAAUACCUGAGAGGAUUGUGUUAUCAUUCACACGUAGAUCAAUCAAAUUCGGAGAUAUGAAUUAAAAUUCAUUAAUCGGAAUCUUGACAGUUCCUUCUUCUAAUCUCUUAAGAGAAGUUAUAACUAAGAAAAUAAUCUUAUACUGAUUUGAAAGUGGUCUGUACUCGCCUGUAGUUGAAACAACUUUCAAAUUCUUGACAUUGUACAAAGAACCCUCACUCAACAUGUGCUUAAACCUUGUCACUAAAGUUUUCCUGAUUGUUGCAUGCAUUAGAUUUUCCUACGAAAAAAAAAACACAUACUACAUUAAGUGUGAAACAAUUGGGAAAAAAAUUAGAGAAAACAAUGGGAGAAUGAAUUUUUUAUACAACCUUUUCAUCAAUAAAAAUCAUGUCAACACUAAUCAAUUCUCCAUUUUGAAAUGCAAGUAACGCAACCCAAGAGGGGGGUGAAUUGGGUUUUUAAAAUUAAUGCAAUACGAUUCGCACAAUAAAUCAAUCUAACGCCUUAAUGAAAUAGAGAACAAUAAAUUCAAGCAAGCGUAAAAAUAAAAGAGCAAGGGAAGAGAAAAACAAACACGCGGAUUUUUACGUGGUUCGGCAAUCCCCGCCUACGUCCACGCCUCCAAGCCAACCGAGCUUGAGGAUUUCACUAUCUAAACCUCCCAAGGCUUCAAGUUUUUACAAUUGACUUCCAAGGUGUCAAUGAACCUUUACAACCAAAAGAUUAUCUCCCCAAUCUCUUUACCCCAAGUGUUUCCCACACUUAAACACUCACAAUUUGGUAAGGAAUGAAAAUUACAACAAAAACUCUCUUUAAGAGUUGAUAUGCAACUAAUAACUCAACAAUGAUUCAAUCAAUAAUGAUUUGUGUUUUGGAAGCUCAAUAUAUGUUGUAUGAUCUUAUAUUUGCGUGUAUUGGUUCUUAAAAAGAAGUUUGAGUUGAGUUUUUAUAGUGGAAGCCCAAAAACUAGCCGUUAUAGGCAAAUUCCAGCGCUCAAGCGGUUAGCCGUUUGAUUUAUCCGGCUAGCCGCUCAGGAACAGUAAUACUACCGUUAUUUUUUGAAUUUGCUACAGUAACACUGUUCAUUGAAAUUACACUUUGGCCCAAAACUUUCUAUAAUUAUAUUAUGGCCCAAAACGUCAGAAAACUUUGCAAAUAGAUCCAAUUUCAGAACUUCUCAAAAAUAGUUGUAUUUCCCAAACUUUUUAAAAUUAUGAUAUGGCCCCAAUGAUUUUAUUGUUUCGCACAAAGGUCCUUUUCAACAUAAUACCCAUAUUUUUCAAAGUUCUCAAAAUCUUUCACUUUAGUUCAAAAUAUUCAUAAAUUAUAGUAUGGCCCAAAAUAUUUAAAAUGUUUGUAAAAACAUCCAACUCCGAAAUUUGAUACUUAUUAAAAUCAAAGAUUUCAAAUCUUAGCAUUUAAGUCCAAUUUACUCAAAUCCACAAAAUACUUUACUUUAUAAAAAUAAAAUAUUUUAGUUUAUGAAAAGUAUUUAAUUAAAUUAAUCUCUUGAGCUUCUCAAAUGCUAAAUCAUGCAUCAAUUAAAUCAUACCGGCUUUACAAGAAUUUGUCGCAAUAAUUCGUCCGUUGAGCUCUAAGCUUUAUUCUUGAUUUCGCCGUUGUCCGUUGAGUGUCUUCAAUCUUGAUUUCACUUGAUUCACUAGCAUAAAUAUUAUCCUUCAAAAACUAGUGUAAAUGUGAAAUACAAUAUUUAUUAUUUUUACUUAAGACACAUGUUUGUUAUCAUCAAAAUUACAUUAUGUGUAGCCAUUUAGGCUAACACAUUUUUUUUAGUAUUAGUAGACUCCCAUAUCCUACAAAGUCUAACCCUUAUCAUCCAACUAUCUUUAUCAUUGUUCAACUAAUGAAGAAAAGAGUACUCCAUGAAGCACACAAUACCAAAAAUUCAAAUAAAUCAAACAAUAAAAAUACAAGUAUUUUUCUAAAGAGGGUGUUGAUUAAAUAAAUUAAAAAAAAAACUAAACAUAACAAAUCUUAAAUAUUUAGUGUUUAGAGAGCUUGAAGAAGCCAAAAGGCACUAAACAAAAGGUUGCAUAAUUAAAUAUGAGAUUAUGACAUUAAAAUUAGGCUCUAGUGGCAUUGUUGAGGGAAGAUGAAAGAACCUCUCUUCCUAUGUUAAUUUGUUGAUGUAUUUUAAGUUACUAAAGUUUAAUUGCUAGCAUAAUAAAAUUUGAAGGAGCCAAAAGACACUCAACAAAAGGUUGCAUAAUUAAAUAUAUGAUUAUGACAUUGAAAUUAGGCCCUAGUGGCAUUGUUGAGGGAAGAUGAAAGAACCUCUCUUCCUAUGUUAAUUAAUUCAUGUAUUUUAAGCCACUAAAGUUUAAUUGCUAGCAUAAUAAAAUAAAUGAAUGCUUCAAAAGACUUAUAAUUAAUUAUUAUUAAUGGUUACAUAUUGUUAGAUUUAAAUAGAAAGAGGAAGAAACAUGUACAAAGAAUAUCCACCAAUAUUUUAGAUAUUUUAGAUAAUAGAAAAUAUAAAAAGAUGAGGUUGAGGGAAGAUGAAAGAACCUCUCUUACUAUGUUAAUUAGUUGAUGUAUUUUAAGGCACUAAAGUUUAGUUGAUAGCAUAAUAAAAUUUGAAGAAGCUAAAAGGCACUCAACAAAAGGUUGGAUAAUUAAAUAUGAGAUUAUGGAAUUAAAAUUAGGCCCUAGUGGCAUUGUUGAGGGAAGAUGAAAGAACCUCUCUUCCUAUGUUAAUUAAUUGAUGUAUUUUAAACUACUAAAGUUUAAUUGCUAGCAAAAUAAAAUAAAUGAAUGUUUCAAAAGACUUAUAAUUAAUUAUUAUUAAUGGUUACAUAUUGUUGGAUUUAAAUAGAAAGAGGAAGAAAUAUGUACAAAGAAUAUCCACCAUUCUUCCUAUGUUAAUUAGGUGAUGUAUUUUAAGGCACUAAAGUUUAAUUGAUAGCAUAAUAAAUUUUGAAAAAGCCAAAAGACAAUAAAAAAAGGUUGCAUAAUUAAAUAUGAGAUUAUGGCAUUAAAAUUAGGGCUUAGUGGCAUUGUUGAGAGAAAAUGAAAGAACCUCUCUUCCUAUGUUAAUUAAUUCAUGUAUUUUAAACCACUAAAGUUUAAUUGCUAGCAUAAUAAAAUAAAUAAAUAUUUCAAAAGACUUAUAAUUAAUUAUUAUUAAUGAUUACAUAUUGUUGAAUUUAAAUAGAAAGAGAAAAAAAGUACAAAGAAUAUCCACCAAUAUUUUAGAUAUUUUAGAUAAUGGAAAAUAUAAAAAGAUGAGAAGAUGAAAAAUUAAUCACUCAAUUGAAUUAAUGAAAAAUUAUGGAUCAUAAUUCCUUGUGAGAUAGUAGGAGUUAUAGGGAAGCUAAAGGUUACUAAUGGGAGAUAGUGAAGAGACUAAGAGAUAUAUGUUAUGAACAUCUACAUUUAUUUUAAUAAAUUCAUAACACUCCCCCUUGGAUGUUCAUUACAAAGAAUAUGCUUCAUUAAAAUCUUUACAUAAUUGUUAUUGUGUAAUAACAAUCAAAUUAAAUAUGAGAAGAUGAAAAGCCAAAUCUAAAAGAAAUUUUAUUUAUUUAUUAGAUAAUAGAGAAUAUACAAAGAUGAGAAAUAGUGAUGCCACAUCACCUCCUCAAGUCCCAGCUUUAUAUAGAUAUAUAGAUAUAAUUCAUGUAUUUUAAGCCACUGAAGUUUAAUUGCUAGCAUAAUAAAAUAAAUAAAUGUUUCAAAAGACCUAAAAUAUUGUUGAAUUUAAAUAGAAAGAGAAAAAAAGUACAAAGAAUAUCCACCAAUAUUUUAGAUAUUUUAGAUAAUAGAAAAUAUAAAAAGAUGAGGAAUGAUAUAUAUUAAUAAAGUUACUAUUUAUUAAAUGAGUUAAAUAGAAUCAAAUUAAUUAUGAGAAGAUGAAAAGCCAAAUCUAAAAAAUAAUUCUCUAUUUAUUAGAUAAUAGAGAAUAUACAAAGAAGCAAAAUGGUGAUGCCACAUCACCUUCUCAAGUCCUAACUUUAUAAAUGAAAGAACCUCUCUUCCUAUGUUAAUUAAUUCAUGUAUUUUAAGCCACUAAAGUUUAAUUGCUAGCAUAAUAAAAUAAAUAAAUGUUUCAAAAGACUUAUAAUUAAUGAUUACAUAUUGUUGAAUUUAAAUAAAAAGAGAAAAAAAAAGUACAAAGAAUAUCCACCGAUAUUUUAGAUAAUAGAAAAUAUAAAAAGAUGAGGAAUGAUAUAUAUUAAUAAAGUUACUAUUUAUUAAAUGAGUUAAAUAGAAUCAAAUUAAUUAUGAGAAGAUGAAAAACCAAAUCUAAAAAAAAAUUCUCUAUUUAUUAGAUAAUAGAGAAUAUACAAAGAAGCAAAAUGGUGAUGCCACAUCACCUCCUCAAGUCCUAACUUUAUAUAUAUAUAUAGAUAUAGAUAUAGAUAUAAUUAAUGUAUUUUAAGCCACUAAAGUUUAAUUGCUAGCAUAAUAAAAUAAAUCAAUGUUUCAAAAGACUUAUAAUUAAUUAUUAUUAAUGAUUACAUAUUGUUGAAUUUAAAUAGAAAGAGAAAAAAAACUACAAAGAAUAUCCAUCGAUAUUUUAGAUAUUUUAGAUAAUAGAAAAUAUCUAAAGAUGAGGAAUGAUAUAUAUUAAUAAAGUUACUAUUUAUUAAAUGAGUUAAAUACAAUUAAAUUAAUUAUGAGAAGAUGAAAAGCCAAAUCUAAAAAAUAAUUCUCUAUUUAUUAGAUAAUAGAGAAUAUACAAAGAAGCAAAAUGGUGAUGUCACAUCACCUCCUCAAGUCCUAGCUUUAUAAAUGAAAGAACCUCUCUUCCUAUGUUAAUUAAUUCAUGUAUUUUAAGCCACUAAAGUUUAAUUGCUAGCAUAAUAAAAUAAAUAAAUGUUUCAAAAGGCUUAUAAUUAAUGAUUACAUAUUGUUGAAUUUAAAUAGAAAGAGAAAAAGAAGUACAAAGAAUAUCCACCAAUAUUUUAGAUAUUUUAGAUAAUAG